This 691-nucleotide long non-coding RNA is filed under the name Sus scrofa (pig). Its description in RNAcentral is "lncRNA (ENSSSCG00045019763.1)". Lineage: Eukaryota; Metazoa; Chordata; Mammalia; Artiodactyla; Suidae. The record is from RNAcentral.
CUGCAGCCGCCGCGGCCCGGGCGGGGCCGGGGGGGGGGGUGGGUUCGCUGGUUUGGAGGGGGGGUGGGGUUGGCUGUUUCUGGAAAGCUCAGCAGAGCUAAUCUAAUCUUCCAAGGCGCGUCCGCUGCCCGAGAGCAGCGCUCACAGUCCGCAGCGCCGGGAGGGCUCCGCGGCCUCCCCCUCCCGGCUCAGUAGAUCCAGAUCGUGUGAGUCUCUUUUAUUCCCGUUUUGCACGUGAGGCCACGGAGGCCGGGAUAGACCAGGAUCGCACACGUCUUGGGGGCCUACUCCGGACUCAAACCUACGUCUCUGUGACUCCAAAACUCAUAUUAUACUAUGACCUAGUAUUUGCUGGUGUAAGACGAAUGGUUCCGUUUUAGCGCAGAUGCAAGCGCCACCUUAUUUGGAGGACAGGCAGGUAGAUCUGCAGGAACUGCCAGUUAAAAAGAAUACUACCUAUUUUAUUGAGCCUGAAGGGUUGAGGACAUCACAGACCAGAGACUUUGACCAGCCAGAAAAAGAGAGAUGACAGCAACUGAGAUGAAAGGGUCCUGAAAUCACAUCACAUCCCUGCGCCCAACUCUGCGGAGCGAGACCCUGUCAAGGCUCCGGGUCUCCUGGCGACCUCUCAAACCUCAUUUCCCACCCGCGCCCCCUGACUGUCUGCCCUCCAGCGUCCCCGACCUCCUUU